CGGGGUGUGGCCUCGCGUCAAAGCCGGAGGUUCAUGGCGCUUUUGCGGAGCUCCCGUGUACGUCCUUGCAUCUUAAGGAACCGGUGGGAUUGUAACGCGGUUAGUCGCAGAUGUCUGCAUUUCUAAUACUUUGUGCUCCAAGCGGAUCCAUUACCAGGAAAUCACAUUUAACUAGACAUCCUUUAUCUUGUUUCCACCCUACCCUACCAUUAUGUGAAUUACACUUUCUUCUUGAGACGGGAUCCUUCUCCAGAAUCCUGGAACUGACUGUAGACCAGGCUGGCUUCGAACUCACAAGAGAUCCACCUGCUUCUGCCUUGCAAGUGCUGGCAUUAAAGGUGUGCGCUACCACAAGGCAGAGUUUGGUGAGUCGAUCUUUUAUUAACUUAUGUAAAGAAGUGGAGGGAGGCGCAGGAGACAGAGCGCAGCAGUUGAGAGCAUUUGCAGAGGACAGUUCAGUUCUCAGUGGGUGACUCAGAACCACCUGUAACUCCAGCUCCAGAGGAGCCGCUGGCCUCUACUUCCCCCACAUAAAAAUAAUAAAGGAGAAAUGGAAGGGCAUACAUGUAUCACCGACUCUCAACUAUCAUCCAACCCUUAGACCCUGAGAUGUGCAGCGCUAACCAGUACUUGUGAAACCAAACAGAAGACACACGAGCUUUGUCUGCUUUAUUCACUACAUUAAGCAAUAAGGCAAAACAGUAACCUGUUAUUCAUAAGUCAAGGAGUGCCUCUCACCCCCCAGAGGGACCAAGGAGGAUGCUCAUUACAACGAUGCAAGGGCAUUCAGGGCAGUAUGCCUAUAACAUGUAUUUGGAACAAAAGAAAAAUUUGAGUGUGAAUCAGCUCACAAACCCAAAGUAACUUAGCUUUAAGCAUCCAAAAUUGUAGUUUCAAGUGCUAAGGAUGCCUGACUCUGUGUCUUGGUGCACACUGACUAGAAAUAAGAACCCUGCACCUGAUCUAAUACAAGAAGGGUGACAGUCACAAUUCCUAAUCACCACCAAGUGUUGAACCUUUUCUAAGAACACAAACAAGGCCAGCUUGCACUAAACUUACCUUGAAACAGCCAACAGCUGGUAUUUGUAAGUUAACUUGACUUCUUAAAAAAAACAAAAACAAACCCACAAGUGUUUGUUCCCCAGGAGUAAAGAGCCCCGUCCUUCAAUGUUUUCCUAGGGAAUAAGUAUCGGUGUCACUGCAUAAAGGCAGGCAGACAAAAAAAAAAAAAAAAAAAAAA
Mus musculus (house mouse) is the source of this 1240-nucleotide long non-coding RNA. RefSeq annotates it as predicted gene, 52358. The transcript has 2 exons. The record is from RefSeq and is a predicted model, not a curated record. Lineage: Eukaryota; Metazoa; Chordata; Mammalia; Rodentia; Muridae.